This 342-nucleotide ribosomal RNA is filed under the name Triticum aestivum (bread wheat). RNAcentral describes it as "partial small subunit ribosomal RNA". The record is from RNAcentral. Lineage: Eukaryota; Viridiplantae; Streptophyta; Magnoliopsida; Poales; Poaceae.
AUGGUCCGCCAUAAUGGUUCUGUACUAAUUAAGUUACGACUUCUGAACUUUGAUGCAAUUUUUGGCAUAUGCACAUUUUGGCACGAUGAUGGGAUCAUGGAUCGAUGGUGUCAUUGUCAGCAACUCAAGCCCAAGACCAAGCAUAUUGUUACAAUUUACAGAAAAUGUGGGAUGCUUCAAAUGGGAAAUGUAUCAUGCUUAUGUGAGCCAAGUCAGCCAACAUUUCUGUUUAGAUCGGAACAUGGCGAAUUGGCAACCAAUGCAUCAUAUAUUUUGCCCAUUCACGAACCCGGUAAAUAUUUUGACAAUUUAAGACUACAAUACAUAUGUAUUUCACUAUAG